GAUGAACGCUAGCGGCAGGCUUAACACAUGCAAGUCGAGGGGCAGCACGGGUAGCAAUACCUGGUGGCGACCGGCGCAAGGGUGCGUAACGCGUGAGCAACAUGCCCUAUACAGGGGGAUAAUCCAGGGAAACUUGGUCUAAUAUCCCAUAGCAUUUAGAGGAGGCAUCUUCACUAAAUUAAAGCUUCGGUGGUAUAGGAUUGGCUCGCGUGACAUUAGCUAGAUGGUGAGGUAACGGCCCACCAUGGCUAUGAUGUCUAGGGGUUCUGAGAGGAAGACCCCCCAACUGGGACUGAGACACGGCCCAGACUCCUACGGGAGGCAGCAGUGAGGAAUAUUGGACAAUGGAUGGAAAUCUGAUCCAGCCAUGCCGCGUGCAGGAAGACGGCCCUAGUGGGUUGUAAACUGCUUUUAAUGGGAGCAAUAAGGUUUACGAGUAGACCGAUGAGAGUACCAUAUGAAUAAGCAUCGGA
Molecule: ribosomal RNA, 473 nt
Filed under: uncultured bacterium
Lineage: Bacteria
Description: bacterial SSU rRNA
Rfam family: Bacterial small subunit ribosomal RNA
Source: RNAcentral